UACGUAGGGGGCAAGCGUUGUCCGGAAUCAUUGGGCGUAAAGCGCGUGUAGGCGGCCAGAAAAGUCCGCUGUGAAAACUCGAGGCUCAACUUCGAGCUGUCGGUGGAAACCAUCUGGCUAGAGUCCGGAAGAGGAGAAUGGAAUUCCCGGUGUAGCGGUGAAAUGCGCAGAUAUCGGGAAGAACACCCGUGGCGAAGGCGGUUCUCUGGGACGGUACUGACGCUGAGACGCGAAAGCGUGGGGAGCGAACAGG
RNAcentral lists this ribosomal RNA (253 nucleotides) under uncultured bacterium. RNAcentral describes it as "partial 16S ribosomal RNA". It matches the Rfam family "Bacterial small subunit ribosomal RNA", at positions 524 to 776 of the family's 1533-position model. The record is from RNAcentral.